Long non-coding RNA from Felis catus (domestic cat), 2215 nucleotides. RefSeq lists it as uncharacterized. The record is from RefSeq and is a predicted model, not a curated record. NCBI's taxonomy places the organism in Eukaryota, Metazoa, Chordata, Mammalia, Carnivora, Felidae. The transcript has 2 exons.
UCAACAAGAACCAUGGGUGAAAUGUGAGAAACGCUGCUUUAAAGAGUACGUUCUACCUGGAUUUUUCAACCUAAAAGGCACAAGCAGUAGAGAGGAAAUUCUGGUCACAGGUACACCUUCAUCCAGAGCACCUAGACUCAUCCUGUCCAUUUAUAAUCCCAUCAGGAGUGUGAGAGUGCUCGUUCAGUUUUGCCAGGAGUAGGAAUGAUCCUUUUGAAAAAUUUUCCCUGAAUGAUUAUAAGUGUUGUGGAAGCUCUGAAAAUCAGCUGUCUGGGAACACCACCACCACCACCACUGUGACCAACAAAAAUCAAACCGGAAGUUUAGCCCCCAAUAAUAUAGGAAGCAGAUUCAUGGAGCAGAUGCACUUGUUAUGAAAACAGUAAAUCAUGCAUACUGAUAAAUGAAUGAGACUUGAUAAGGACAUCGUAUCCUACUGUGUGAGAAGGUGGUGCUGUAAUGUGAAAAAUACAAUCUCAUGAAGUACGUUGUGUCCUGAAAAGGACAAGGGGAUCAAUAAAAAACACAGUUCGCAUACUCCCAGCAAAAAACCGGGUGUUAGCACUUCUGAAGGAUUUGGUUGUUUCAUGAGAUGAAAAAUGUCUACUUUGAGGCCUUAAAAUAUUGAUGCCCUAAAGAGUUCUUCCCUACUGCCACACAGCAUCCGUCUUAGAACAGAUCAUGGUGAGAGGCUCCAGAGGCCAAGGGAAUAAGUUAAGGGGAUGCUGCUUCUCACUGUGCAGGAAAUAAUUCUUCUUAAGAGGCUAUAUAUCAGUCCAGAAAAAGCUGACAAGCUUUUUAAAAAAUACAACAGAAACAAACUAAAAGCGAUUCAUUCCUGUCAUCUUCUUUACAUCUUGAACUCAAAUUAAAAAAAAAAUUGCCAAUAAAAAUAUACAAGUCUGUGUGUCUUAUAGUAACUAGGUAUCCAUAUCUGCAUGUGUAUAAAUUCCAGUGCAAUCCCCAGAGAUCUCCUAUGACAUAAGUAAUGGUAACACGUUUGCCUCUGGAGAGUGAAACCUGGUGCUGGGGUACCAGGGUAAGAGAUGUAGUUAUAUUUUUUCCAUUAUGUACUGUUUGAGCUUUAAAAAAAUUAUGCAUGUUUUAAUUGUUUUUUAAAAAUUCAUGAUAACUAUGUAAAUAAAUAGAUAUAUAAAAUGUAUUGGGACAUUUGGUGACAUCUGUACACAUUUUUUUGUAGUCACAAUUGGGGGAGGGCUCGUCACUGGUAGUUAGCAGAUGGAGACCAAGUCUGCUGUUAAACAGCCUACAAUGCAGAGGACAGCCCCCUACAACCAAGAAUAUCCAGCUCAAAAGGUCAACAGUGCUGCUGUUGAGAAAACUCUAAAUGAUGGACCCUUACAUACAGAACAUAAACACUCAGAGUAUGAAUUAUAUAAACAACUACUACAGUGGACUCUUGGCUCCUUAUCACUCCAGACAGAGUAUAUCAUCCAAAGAGACAGGACAUGGAGUUGAUCUACAGACCCAACACCUCCCACUCUCAAGCAGUUUCCUGCCUGCUUGGGGAGAAGCAGUUUUCAUCAGUGGCUCUUGGCAGGGGAAGCAGUAACAGCAAGAUCUGGACCCUUCCUGUUGCGUCAAGCACCUUGGAGAGAUGACCAUAAGGUCCUCUCUUCAUGGGACUGUGUGGGUGGGAGAGGGCAAUCAGGAGCUGCAUUGUUCCAAUUAUUCUUGUUUAAACAAGUCUGGUUAAAAGCCAUUCACACACUACAUCUCAAAUACAGAACUAGCAGCUGUAUUCAAACUUUGUAUUAUAAUCCGGUCGCACCAUCCAAUUGUUUAUUUGAGAUCACAGGCUUCAAUUAAUUUAGGGGACAGUAUAGUGAUCAAAGGAGAAAAGUUUCUUACAAAUCAGUAUUUGUUUAGAGGGUCUUGUGUCCUUCCAAAGAUUCCUUGUCAAGGCAACACACAAAACUUCAAAUAAUGAAGUACUUCAUGGCUUUUGCACUGAUGACAACAUAAAGGAAGAAUGACUCUUGCCUCCUUGAACCAUAUCAUCUAUUUAGCUUAAUUUCAACUUGUCCUGAUAUUAUGCUUUCCUUUUUUUAGUCAGCGAUAUUUUUAUCCGUGUUUAAUUUUGCAUUAUACUGUAUUAUAACAAAAUCAUAAAAUGUUUGAGCUAAAAGGGAUCUUAAAAAUCACCUAACAAAAUCCUCACAUUUUAUAGAUAAUAAAAAUAGCUACUCAGAUA